GAUCAUGGCUCAGGAUGAACGCUGGCGGCGCGCCUAACACAUGCAAGUCGAACGGCACCCCUCUCCGGAGGGAAGCGAGUGGCGAACGGCUGAGUAACACGUAGAGAACCUGCCCCCCUCCCCCCGGGAUAGCCGCCCGAAAGGACGGGUAAUACCGGAUACCCCGGGGUGCCGCAUGGCACCCCGGCUAAAGCCCCGACGGGAGGGGAUGGCUCCGCGGCCCAUCAGGUAGACGGCGGGGUGACGGCCCACCGUGCCGACAACGGGUAGCGGGGUUGAG
This 280-nucleotide ribosomal RNA is filed under the name uncultured bacterium. RNAcentral's name for it is "partial 16S ribosomal RNA". It matches the Rfam family "Bacterial small subunit ribosomal RNA", at positions 15 to 296 of the family's 1533-position model. The record is from RNAcentral.